RNAcentral lists this transfer RNA (72 nucleotides) under Blattella germanica (German cockroach). RNAcentral's name for it is "tRNA-Gln (TTG) (tRNA-Gln-TTG-10-1)". It matches the Rfam family "tRNA". Rfam says of the family: Transfer RNA (tRNA) molecules are approximately 80 nucleotides in length. Their secondary structure includes four short double-helical elements and three loops (D, anti-codon, and T loops). Further hydrogen bonds mediate the characteristic L-shaped molecular structure. tRNAs have two regions of fundamental functional importance: the anti-codon, which is responsible for specific mRNA codon recognition, and the 3' end, to which the tRNAs corresponding amino acid is attached (by aminoacyl-tRNA synthetases). tRNAs cope with the degeneracy of the genetic code in two manners: having more than one tRNA (with a specific anti-codon) for a particular amino acid; and 'wobble' base-pairing, i.e. permitting non-standard base-pairing at the 3rd anti-codon position. Lineage: Eukaryota; Metazoa; Arthropoda; Insecta; Blattodea; Blattellidae. The record is from RNAcentral.
GGUUCCAUGGUGUAAUGGUGAGCACUCUGGACUUUGAAUCCAGCUGUCCGAGUUCAAAUCUCGGUGGAACCU